ACUAAACCAGAACAUUGAGUCCAGUCCUGUCCAUCCCAUCUGUCCUGUCACACAAAUGUGAUAAAACAAUGACUGACAUUCUCAUAAUAAAGCUUGUAGAAUAUGUUUUAAAAAUGAAUAACACCAAUUGUAAGAAUGAAUAGGGUGAGAGAGAAAAUGGUCUGCCUGGUUUUGUGUGUCCUCCAGUGUGUAUCGUAAAGGUCUCUCUCUCUCUCUUCGUUUCACCCCGCUGUGGGUUUGUGUGUUAGAGGGUGAAUAAAUGUCUAGUGAUUGGAAACCUUUUCCUUUUGUAAACUCGAGUCUCUGCCAGAGAGCAUUGUGUAGCAUUGUUUACCAGCCCUCUUGUCCCCUUGUCUUGCCUGUGUGUGUGUGUGUGUGCGUGUGUGUCUGUGUGUGUGUGUGUGUGUGUGUGUGUGUGUGUGUGUGUGUGUGUGUGUGUGUGUGUGCGUGUGUGUGUGUGUGUCUGUGUGUGUGUGUGUGUGUGUGUGUGUGUGUGUGUGUGUGUGUGUGUGUGUGUGUGUGUGUGUGUGUGUGUGUGUGUGUGUGAUAUAAAGUUGACAUUACCAGUUGAUUGCUCCCUAGACUAGUCUUUGUGUGAGCUCAUGCAUGCACAUGCAUGGCUGUGCACGGUAAUGCAUAUGACGGCUGACAUUAUGGGAUUGCCACCAGUGUGUGUGUGUGUGUGUGUGUGUGUGUGCAGCUGUGUUCUUGUAUAUGGGACAGCUGGGAUGAUUACUUGUGUGUGUAUGCAUGUGCACAUGUGCUUAUUUUCCAUUCAAACAUGGCGUGUUGGUUUGACAAUAUGAUGUAAGAUUGCGUCACUUUUCGGUUUAACAUGUUAUUGAAUUGAACAAAUUCUGAUUGGCUGGUUGUUAUGCUGCAGGUCAGUUAGCUUAGUUAUACAGUGCUGCUGAGGCAUAAAUGGAAGCUUUUGUAAACAAUCACCUUUUUUGACUUUGAUUAUGUCUAUAUUAAUCCCACAACAUGGACUUUUAUCCACUUGUGUUGCAUUCAUUAAUGCCAAACUUUAAUCUUGAACAUGGAGGGAAAUUUUAAUGUAAAUCUCAUCAAAGUUUGAACUGAACUUGUUAAAGGUGUAGCAAUCGAUGUUUCUGAAGAACCGCCCACUCAACGUUCUUUAAAAUGCACAUGCGCACCCCUCUACCAGUUCGUGGAGCGUGCUCGUGCACGCUCUGUUUCCAAGCAACUGCCGGCUUUGCACCUGUUGACUCUAGUAAAUUAUUUUUUUCCCCACAAUGUCGGAUUCUCCAUCAGUAAGUUAUAUUCCAUGUAGCAUUACGAGCAUCUUCAUAGCUUUUUUUGUAAUGCUAUAGUUAGCUAUCAAUUAGCAUAUAAGUUAUAUUGUUUUGCUGAUUGGUUUAGAGCUUUCCUGAGGAAAGUCUUGUUGGUUCCGAUACGGACUACGAGCCCGUGCCCGGUCCAUCCCGACCAAGAUUCAGGAUGAGGGUGCACCUAGAGACCGAGUGAGACCAUCCAGGGCCGGAAGAGCCACAGCUUCAACAACCCGCGGCAGCCGAGAGCAGGAAGGAGGCGGCCGUGUCAGAGGUCGACGUCGAGUUCGAGGUCAAGCUAGAACCCGUGGGGGUCUGCUCGCUGACAUUACACGGGAUGACUUAGAGAGGGUCCAACAACUCCGGCAACAGUUGGUGGCAGUGAAAGAGGCUAGGAUAAAGAGACUGACGCUAGAAGAGUGCCAACAGCUUCUACAAAGAUGUCUCACAUGGGAAUCUAGUCUAAUAUUUGACCUGAUGAGUCUCACCCCUGAUCACCCACAACCUGGACCUUGUCCUCCACAGUCACCCAGCUGGUGUGUCUGUCUACAGUGCAGAAAUAUGGCAACACCGCUGGAACAAAAAUGCUGUCAACAACAACAACCACAGAACUGUACAUCACUGUUGCCACACAUGGACUUAUACAUCUUGAAUGAAGGUGCAUUGAGACUGGCCAGACGAAUCUGGAAUGACCUUAGAGCGGAGGCUGACAUCCGGGAUCCAGGAGAAAGCCAUAGGCAGUUCCGCUAUGCUGCAUACAGGAACUUUAUUGUCUGGCAGUAUGGCCUUCUGGGACCAGGUGAUAGAAUUGUUAUACCUUCAUGUUGUGUGUGGAAAAUUAGAGAUAGUUUCCCAGAUCCAAAUGUAUGUAGGCUUUCUUCCAUCAAGAGUGUAAAACAUUUAUAGAUGCCUAAUAAAUCUUUUUGUAAUUUACCUCAAAAAAAGAGACCUCAAGAGCUUCACUUGCACACUCAUAAUCUGAUUAAUUACACGGUUGUAUUCUGACACUUCAAAUAUGUAACAUUUCCAGGUUUUAAUAAAACAAGUCUUCCAGGGUUUGUUAGGUGUUCAAACACAACUUUACAUUUAUAAAUACGUAAACAAUUUACCUCAGCAAAAAAUUAUUAAAAAAAUGUAUGCGGAAAUAUAAACAAACGGUUAUGAAUUUUUUUUAUUAGUUCUUACGUAUAAAAUCGAUGUUUUAUGAAAGGCAUACAUCCACCAGAAAAUGUUUGAUAUGGCACAUUAUGUACAGCUGAAAAAGAAGCACACAUUUGGUUCCCUUUAGAUGUAGGUACAGUUGUAAACAUCAAGUUGUCUCUCCUCGUCACCCACAGCAUUUUGUCACACCCUGUCCUGUCUCCCCAUUCUGUUCAGUCAUGUGUCCCUGUUAAUUGCUCCCACCUGCCUCUCGUUUUCCAAUCACCCAAGCUCCCAGCCCUCAUGUAUUUAAACCCUCUCAGUUCUGUGUGUUUUGUCGGUUCAUUGUUUCCAUGUCCUGCGUGCAGUUACUAUUAAAAGACCUUUUGCAUGUCCAGAUUGCCUGCCUGCUUCCUCCCCAGCAUUUGGAUCCUCACAAACCGCUCAACUCACCUGCACCGUGACAGAAUGAACCGACCUCCCGAAGGAUCCAGCGGGGAGGUUCUCCCCUGGGAGUACCUGCUCCGAUGGCUCACCCCGAGUCACCAGCCGGCUUCUCCUCCUCCAAUUCCGCCACGCCGCCAUCGAGCCUCGGCGUUCCUCUCCACCCUCCUGGAGCUAGAUGAGAGGUUGGACUGGGAGACGCAGCCGGACCAAUCCUGCUAUGUGGGCACCAGGCUGGCUGUGUGCUCCCCGGCGUUGGUCCGCGGCACCGGGAAGGAACCCUGGCUCCACCAACACCUCCAGCACGUAAAAAAAAUAAGAUGCAGCUGCCCAUUACACUUCUUUGCUGAAAAACUUUUAAUAUUUUAUGAACCCCCUGUUGGAUAUUUCUUUACCUCUCAAAGUCCUCCCUGGAUGUACAAUACAGACCAGAAGUUUGAACACACCUUCUCAUUCAAUGUGUUUUCUUUAUUUUCAUGACCAUGACCACUGGGAACUCCUUCAAGACUGCUGGGAAACCAUGUCAGGUGACUACCCCUUGAAGCUCAUCAAGACUGUGCAAAGCAGUAAUCGGAGCAAAGGGUGGCUAUUUUGAAGAAAUCAAUCAAUCAAUGAAUCAAGUUUUAUUUAUAUAGUGCUUUCCACCACCCUGAAAGGGGGCCCAAGGCACUGGACAAGAGAAGUAACAAAGCUAAAAGUAGCAAGUCAUAAAAACAUUAAAAACAAAAUAAGAACAUAGACAUUUGUGAACAAUAAGAUGCCAAUGAGAUAAAAUUUAGAUAAAAGAAAAUUUAAAUUAAUUAGUUAAAAGAAAGCUAAGAACUAAAACUAAAAACCAGAAACCAAAAGCUUUAGGAGAAGCCAUCCUAUAAAAAUGAGUCUUCAACCUGCUCUUAAGGACUGCCAGUGAUGGGAACUGUUUGAUUGUGAGUGGGAGCUGGUUCCAGAGACUUGAAAAGACCAAUCACCACAAGUCUUAAAACGGGUGCGAGGGAUGAUGAGCAUUUUCUGGUCAGCUGACCAUAAUGACCUUGAGGGAACAUGCUUUAUUAAGAGUAGGUUGGGCCACUGCCUUGGAAAAACUUAAACACAAAAAGCAGAAUUUUAACUGUGCCUUGUAUGAGACUGGGAGCCAGUGAAGGAAAUCCAGCACUGGAGAAAUGUGGUCCCUUUUCCUAGUUCCUAAAAUAAAAAGCAUGUUUUCAGUUUGUUCACCUUUUUUGGGUUAAGUACAUAACUCCACAUGUGUUCAUUCAUAGUUUUGGUGCCUGUAAAUGGUCAUGAACAUAAAGAAAACUCAUUGAAUGAGAAGGUGUGUCCAAACUUUUGUCCUUUACUGUACAUCAUAUGUAACUGGUAACUGUUUUGAGUCAACCCCAUUCGGUAUGGCCACCACAGCUAAGCUACCUUAGCAAAUGCAAGAAUCUCUGUAUCUUUUACUGGUAUUUGGUUACAGUUUCAUGUUUUAAUAGCUGAGAGUAAUACUGUGAGAUCUAACAGCAUGCAGAAUGUUUUGUUUUUGUUCGACAGUUAAUCAAGACUUUUAUCAUUUCUCAGUAAGAGAUCUUAGUUUAAAAGUCUAGCACAAAAGUUGGUGAGGGCCACUAAAGAAAAACUAGACCUUUUAGGACUUGCCGUACACGAGGAAGGUUUCAUAAUUAGUUGUUUCCAAGUAACUCACCAGUCUAAUUAUGUUUAUGGUUUGCAGAAGGACCUUCAUAAAAUGUUUUGACCAUUUUGAUACAGAGACCUUCUGAGCUUUACAUAAUUACUGUAGUGAAUAUACACUUCUCAGAAAAUGAAAGUAUUUAUCUUUAAUCAGAAUAUAAUUUCAAACAUCUGGGAUAUUGAUCUGGUCAGUGAAGUAGCAGAGGUGGUUGUUAAUCAUUGUCAACUGUUUUGUUUAUAGCAAGUUUAAUAACUGGAGCACUAAAGGGGCAACAAUUUCAUGACCACAAAACUGUAAUGAUUUUACAAGUUUUUCAGUAGUUUUGCCAUUAACUUGAGUCAGUGUCUCUAUUGGUAACAUGAGAUACCUGAACCCUACAGAGGUUGCACUGGCAGCCCUGCUCCACCAGGGUGGCCUGUCAAUGUGGGCCAUUACCAGAAGGUUUUCCAUGUCUCCCAGCAUCUUUAGACCCAUUUUUAGAUCAUUUAGUAGUACAGUGGGCCCUGGGUUUCCUGGCUUCAUGUGGCAAGAGUAUGCAGGUGGCUUAUGGAGAAUGAAGGACUUGAUACCAUUGACUGGCCUCUGAGUUCACCAAACCUAAAUUACAUAGAAUGUCAUGUUUAUGUCCAUCCAACAUUGGGCUGGGCAAUAAAUCGAAAAUGUAUUGUUAUCAAAAUUUCUGACUCUUGUCGUGAUUAUUUUUCCCAUGUCAAUAAAUUUGAUAAUAAAAAAAUGAAAA
Non-coding RNA from Nothobranchius furzeri (turquoise killifish), 5284 nucleotides. The record is from RefSeq and is a predicted model, not a curated record. NCBI's taxonomy places the organism in Eukaryota, Metazoa, Chordata, Actinopteri, Cyprinodontiformes, Nothobranchiidae.